Molecule: ribosomal RNA, 495 nt
Filed under: uncultured Glomeromycotina
Lineage: Eukaryota; Fungi; Glomeromycota
Description: partial small subunit ribosomal RNA
Rfam family: Eukaryotic small subunit ribosomal RNA
Source: RNAcentral
CCAAUAGCGUAUAUUAAAGUUGUUGCAGUUAAAAAGCUCGUAGUUGAAUUUCGGGGUUCUACCGUUGGUCGGGCUUUGUCUGUACUGGCGUGUGGAAUUUCUACCUUCUGGGGAACUAUCAUGUUAUUCAUUUAACGUGGUGGGAAACCAGGACCUUUACCUUGAAAAAAUUAGAGUGUUCAAAGCAGGCUUGUGUCUGAAUACAUUAGCAUGGAAUAAUAAAAUAGGACGGUGGUUCUGUUUUGUUGGUUUCUGAAUCACCGUAAUGAUUAAUAUGGAUAGUUGGUGGCAUUAGUAUUCAAUUGUCAGAGGUGAAAUUCUUGGAUAUAUUGAAAACUAACUUCUGCGAAAUCAUUUGCCAAGGAUGUUUUCAUUAAUCAAGAACGAAAGUUAGGGGAUCGAAGACGAUCAGAUACCGUCGUAGUCUUAACCAUAAACUAUGCCGACUAGGGAACGGACGAUGUUAAUUUUUCUUGACUCGUUCGGCGCCUUACG